This 465-nucleotide ribosomal RNA is filed under the name uncultured bacterium. RNAcentral describes it as "bacterial SSU rRNA". It matches the Rfam family "Bacterial small subunit ribosomal RNA", at positions 64 to 507 of the family's 1533-position model. The record is from RNAcentral.
GAACGCGAAAGUCCCGCAAGGGAUCAGUAGAGUGGCAAACGGGUGAGUAACGCGUGGGUGACCUGCCUUCGAGCGGGGGAUAACGUUCCGAAAGGGACGCUAAUACCGCAUAACAUCCUGUCUUUUAAGAGGCGGAGAUCAAAGCCGGGGAUCGCAAGACCUGGCACUCGAAGAGGGGCCCGCGUCCGAUUAGCUAGUUGGUGAGGUAAUGGCUCACCAAGGCUCCGAUCGGUAUCCGGCCUGAGAGGGCGGACGGACACACUGGGACUGAGACACGGCCCAGACUCCUACGGGAGGCAGCAGUGGGGAAUUGUUCGCAAUGGGCGCAAGCCUGACGACGCAACGCCGCGUGGAGGAUGAAGAUCUUCGGGUCGUAAACUCCUUUCGAUCGAGACGAACGGCUUCCGGAUGAACAAUCCNGGGAGAGUGACGGUACCGAGAGAAGAAGCCCCGGCUAACUCCGUG